AAAGACCUUCAGGGUUAGGUGCAAUUCCUUACCGGCGGUAUGGCUUUAGCCGAGCCCGCGAGCCCGCAAGGGCAGAUCUGGUGAGAUGCCAGAGCCGACAGUUAAAGUCUGGAUGGGAGAAGGUGAUU
Molecule: non-coding RNA, 128 nt
Filed under: Desulforamulus ruminis
Lineage: Bacteria; Bacillati; Bacillota; Clostridia; Eubacteriales; Peptococcaceae
Also listed under: 1 other name
Description: Desulfotomaculum ruminis FMN sequence
Rfam family: FMN riboswitch aptamer (RFN element)
About the family: The RFN element is a highly conserved domain that is found frequently in the 5'-untranslated regions of prokaryotic mRNAs that encode for flavin mononucleotide (FMN) biosynthesis and transport proteins. This element is a metabolite-dependent riboswitch that directly binds FMN in the absence of proteins.
Source: RNAcentral